GGCGAGUUUAGCGKUAAUUGCCCAGCACCGAAUCCUCUGCGUGGGACGCAGUGGGAACUGUGGUGUUUAGGACAGCCUCUGGAGCUYUGCCGCGCGCCCGAGUCCUCCUGAUCGGGGCCUUUCCCAUAGCGGGUGUCAGGCCUCUACUGGCGUGCGGCGACGUCUUUUCUGACCGUCCUCGGAGCCGGGUUGUUUGGGAAUGCAGCCCAAAGCGGGGGGUAAACUCCUUCUAGGGCUAAUUCCUGACACAAGUCCAAUCCCGGACAAGUCCCGUGGGGGAAAGUUGAAAAGACCUUUGAA
RNAcentral lists this ribosomal RNA (300 nucleotides) under Maupasia coeca. Its description in RNAcentral is "partial large subunit ribosomal RNA". Lineage: Eukaryota; Metazoa; Annelida; Polychaeta; Phyllodocida; Lopadorrhynchidae. The record is from RNAcentral.